AUUUUGGUAUAAGUAUGUUCUCUGUGAUAUUUGGACAUACUUAUGCUAAAA
This 51-nucleotide microRNA precursor is filed under the name Marmota monax (woodchuck). Lineage: Eukaryota; Metazoa; Chordata; Mammalia; Rodentia; Sciuridae. The record is from RNAcentral.